UGGGGAAUUUUGGACAAUGGGGGAAACCCUGAUCCAGCAAUGCCGCGUGUGUGAAGAAGGCCUUCGGGUUGUAAAGCACUUUUGUCCGGAAAGAAAUCCUUGGCUCUAAUACAGUCGGGGGAUGACGGUACCGGAAGAAUAAGCACCGGCUAACUACGUGCCAGCAGCCGCGGUAAUACGUAGGGUGCAAGCGUUAAUCGGAAUUACUGGGCGUAAAGCGUGCGCAGGCGGUUUGCUAAGACCGAUGUGAAAUCCCCGGGCUCAACCUGGGAACUGCAUUGGUGACUGGCAGGCUAGAGUAUGGCAGAGGGGGGUAGAAUUCCACGUGUAGCAGUGAAAUGCGUAGAGAUGUGGAGGAAUACCGAUGGCGAAGGCAGCCCCCUGGGGCCAAAUACUGACGCUCAUGCACGAAAAGCGUGGGGAGCAAAACAGGAUUAGAUACCCCUGGUAGUCCACGCCCUAAACGAUGUCAACUAGUUGUUGGGGAUUCAUUUCCUUAGUAACGUAGCUAACGCGUGAAGUUGACCGCCUGGGGAGUACGGUCGCAAGAUUAAAACUCAAAUGAAUUGACGGGGUCAUAGCUGUUUCCU
This 590-nucleotide ribosomal RNA is filed under the name uncultured bacterium. Its description in RNAcentral is "partial 16S ribosomal RNA". It matches the Rfam family "Bacterial small subunit ribosomal RNA", at positions 355 to 1375 of the family's 1533-position model. The record is from RNAcentral.